GAUGAACGCUGGCGGCGUGCCUAAUACAUGCAAGUCGAGCGAACAGACGAGGAGCUUGCUCCUCUGACGUUAGCGGCGGACGGGUGAGUAACACGUGGAUAACCUACCUAUAAGACUGGGAUAACUUCGGGAAACCGGAGCUAAUACCGGAUAACAUGUUGAACCGCAUGGUUCAACAGUGAAAGACGGUUUUGCUGUCACUUAUAGCUGGAUCCGCGUCGCAUUAGCUAGUUGGUAAGGUAACGGCUUACCAAGGCAACGAUGCGUAGCCGACCUGAGAGGGUGAUCGGCCACACUGGAACUGAGACACGGUCCAGACUCCUACGGGAGGCAGCAGUAGGGAAUCUUCCGCAAUGGGCGAAAGCCUGACGGAGCAACGCCGCGUGAGUGAAGAAGGUCUUCGGAUCGUAAAACUCUGUUAUUAGGGAAGAACAAAUGUGUAAGUAACUAUGCACGUCUUGACGGUACCUAAUCAGAAAGCCACGGCUAACUACGUG
RNAcentral lists this ribosomal RNA (497 nucleotides) under uncultured bacterium. RNAcentral's name for it is "partial 16S ribosomal RNA". It matches the Rfam family "Bacterial small subunit ribosomal RNA", at positions 28 to 507 of the family's 1533-position model. The record is from RNAcentral.